UUGAACGCUGGCGGCAUGCUUUACACAUGCAAGUCGAACGGUAACAGGCCUUCGGGUGCUGACGAGUGGCGAACGGGUGAGUAAUGCAUCGGAACGUGCCCAGAGGUGGGGGAUAACGCAGCGAAAGCUGUGCUAAUACCGCAUGUGAUCUGAGGAUGAAAGCGGGGGACCAAGCAGCAAUGUUUGGCCUCGCGCCUCUGGAGCGGCCGAUGUCAGAUUAGGUAGUUGGUGGGGUAAAGGCCUACCAAGCCGACGAUCUGUAGCUGGUCUGAGAGGACGACCAGCCACACUGGGACUGAGACACGGCCCAGACUCCUACGGGAGGCAGCAGUGGGGAAUUUUGGACAAUGGGCGCAAGCCUGAUCCAGCAAUGCCGCGUGCGGGAAGAAGGCCUUCGGGUUGUAAACCGCUUUUGUACGGAACGAAAAGGCUCUGGCUAAUACCUGGGGCUGAUGACGGUACCGUAAGAAUAAGCACCGGCUAACUACGUG
This 491-nucleotide ribosomal RNA is filed under the name uncultured bacterium. Its description in RNAcentral is "partial 16S ribosomal RNA". It matches the Rfam family "Bacterial small subunit ribosomal RNA", at positions 30 to 507 of the family's 1533-position model. The record is from RNAcentral.